ACACUACUCUCUCCGUAUGGAAUUACUUGUCAUAGAAAUGGAUAUAUCUAGAUGUAUUUUAUUUUUAGAUACAUCAAUUUUUUUCCAUUUUCACGACAAGUAAUUCCGGACGGAGGGAUUAUUUC
This 125-nucleotide microRNA precursor is filed under the name Hordeum vulgare. RNAcentral's name for it is "microRNA MIR1122". It matches the Rfam family "MIR1120/MIR1122 microRNA precursor family". The record is from RNAcentral. Lineage: Eukaryota; Viridiplantae; Streptophyta; Magnoliopsida; Poales; Poaceae.